GAUGAACGCUGACAGAAUGCUUAACACAUGCAAGUCAACUUGGACUUCGGUUUGGGUGGCGGACGGGUGAGUAACGCGUAAAGAACUUGCCUCACAGAUAGGGACAACAUUUGGAAACGAAUGCUAAUACCUGAUAUUAUGAUUUUAGGGCAUCCUAGAAUUAUGAAAGCUAUAUGCGCUGUGAGAGAGCUUUGCGUCCCAUUAGCUAGUUGGAGAGGUAACGGCUCACCAAGGCGAUAAUGGGUAGCCGGCCUGAGAGGGUGAUCGGCCACAAGGGGACUGAGACACGGCCCUUACUCCUACGGGAGGCAGCAGUGGGGAAUAUUGGACAAUGGACCAAGAGUCUGAUCCAGCAAUUCUGUGUGCACGAUGAAGUUUUUCGGAAUGUAAAGUGCUUUCAGUUGGGAAGAAAAAAAUGACGGUACCAACAGAAGAAGUGACGGCUAAAUACGUGCCAGCAGCCGCGGUAAUACGUAUGUCACAAGCGUUAUCCGGAUUUAUUGGGCGUAAAGCGCGUCUAGGUGGUUAUAUAAGUCUGAUGUGAAAAUGCAGGGCUCAACUCUGUAUUGCGUUGGAAACUGUGUAACUAGAGUACUGGAGAGGUAAGCGGAACUACAAGUGUAGAGGUGAAAUUCGUAGAUAUUUGUAGGAAUGCCGAUGGGGAAGCCAGCUUACUGGACAGAUACUGACGCUGAAGCGCGAAAGCGUGGGUAGCAAACAGG
This 722-nucleotide ribosomal RNA is filed under the name uncultured Fusobacterium sp. RNAcentral's name for it is "bacterial SSU rRNA". It matches the Rfam family "Bacterial small subunit ribosomal RNA", at positions 28 to 776 of the family's 1533-position model. The record is from RNAcentral. Lineage: Bacteria; Fusobacteriati; Fusobacteriota; Fusobacteriia; Fusobacteriales; Fusobacteriaceae.